This is a long non-coding RNA of Diospyros lotus (date-plum), 827 nucleotides long. RefSeq lists it as uncharacterized. The record is from RefSeq and is a predicted model, not a curated record. The transcript has 2 exons. NCBI's taxonomy places the organism in Eukaryota, Viridiplantae, Streptophyta, Magnoliopsida, Ericales, Ebenaceae.
CUUUAUUGAAUCAAAGUUGUCUCUUUUUUAUUUAAAGUGUUCAACUAUGGACCCAUGGCUAAAACUCAAAUUUUUAAAACUUUCGAAAAUCAGAAAUUGAACUUUCUCGAGUGAAUUUAAUGUAUCAAAAUGUCCUUUUUCCCCUAAAUUUGGAAUCGCCCUCAUCAAAUUUGUACACUUGAAAAUAUCAUUUCUUGAAUCAAAGUUGUCUCUUUUUUAUUUAAAGUGUUCAACUAUGGACCGAUGGCUAAAACUAAAAUUUUCAAAACUUUCGAAAAUCAGAAAUUGAACUUUCUCGAGUGAAUUUAAUGUAUCAAAAUGUCCAUUUUCCCCUAAAUUUGGAAUCGCCCUCAUCAAAUUUGUACACUUGAAAAUAUCAUUUCUUGAAUGAAAGUUGUCUCUUUUUUAUUUAAAGUGUUCAACUAUGGACCGAUGGCUAAAACUGAAAUUUUCAAAAAUUUCGAAAAUCAGAAAUUGAACUUUCUCGAGUGAAUUUAAGGUAUCAAAAUGUCCUUUUUCACCUAAAUUUGGAAUCGCCCUCAUCAAAUUUGUACACUUGAAAAUAUCAUUUCUUGAAUCAAAGUUGUCUCUUUUUUAUUUAAAGUGUUCAACUAUGGACCCAUGGCUAAAACUCAAAUUUUCAAAACUUUCGAAAAUCAGAAAUUGAACUUUCUCGAGUGAAUUUAAGGUAUCAAAAUGUCCUUUUUCACCUAAAUUUGGAAUCGCCCUCAUCAAAUUUGUACACUUGAAAAUAUCAUUUCUUGAAUCAAAGUUGUCUCUUUUUUAUUUAAAGUGUUCAACUAUGGACCCAUGGCUAAAACUCAAAU